UCCCUUCUCUCUCUCAACUCAUUUCAUCCUCCCAAAACGCCGAUCCCCAAUUCGCAAAAUUUGCACUCUGCCCUCCGGCUUACCCCACGCCGCCGGCCGCCGCCUCCUCUCUCCUUCGCCGAUUCGGCGCCGCGGUAUCACAGCGUCUACUUCUGCCACCGUUGGCCGUCAAAUCGACGUCACAGUUCCAGCCACGGUUGCUGCCUCCGUCGCGUGGUCAGCCCCUGCUGCGAUUCGCGCCGCUGCUGCCUGCACGAAGCCGGAAGCCACCGUCCUUCGCCGAGCCGCUCUCGAAUCGCCACGAUUCCAAACCGAACAGCCCCGACUCACCCCGAAGAUAAGUUCUUUUACAAAGUUAUAUUCUUUCGCGUUUUAAAUUUUCAAUUCGCAGCACGGGGUUGCAAUUUGUGAUGUUCGAUUCAUUUGGGUUCGAUUCAUUGUUGAUUAUUGUUGAUUGAAUUAUUACUUGUGGGAGUUAUAUGUGAUGGUAUGCUAUGUGUAACAACGGUCAAAGGGGAGGGAUUAUACUUUCGUGAUUGUGAAGGAUGAAAGGCCGAAAGGAACGGUCCUUGAACUCGGCAGAUUCAAAUCUGUGGACACAAUGUUGCAUAUGCUUGAAAUUGGAAUGAAACUGAGGAGCUUGAGUUAUGAAUUGGUGAAUAAAAAGAUUUACCUUGGCUUGUAUGAGAUUGGAACAAAAGACGGCAGUCCUUCUACUCUCUCUCGGCUCUCUCUUUCUCUCAAAUGUUUUGCUAGGAAUUUGCAGAUUUUGAGUGUGAGGAGAAGUGAAACCACCGUGAAUAUAUGAGUAACGGCUCGGUUAAGGAGCUGGAGAGAUUUCUUGAAGAAUCAUAAUUCACGUUGGGAUCAGAUUUCUGCAAAUCUAGCAGAUUUCUGCAAAUCUGCGUGAAGAAGAAGGAAUAAAGAUUGGGCUCAAAGGUCUCCGACUUAUUUUAAUUGUUUGGACUCAUUAGAAUGUAGCCCAAAACUUGUGUACUUAUUUAUUUGAUUUUGGACUUCCAUUAUUUUCCAUGGCCCAAAGCCUUUUUGUAAAAUAAAAUAUUGGACUUUAUUUUA
Molecule: non-coding RNA, 1077 nt
Organism: Salvia hispanica
Lineage: Eukaryota; Viridiplantae; Streptophyta; Magnoliopsida; Lamiales; Lamiaceae
Source: RefSeq, a predicted model, not a curated record